CAUAAGUUAAAAAAAGAGGUAGUAAGAUAGUCGUAAAAUACGUAGCGAUGACCUACGUAAAUUAGUUAAAUUUGACAACCAUUCCCACAUACUGAGGCGAACACACAAUAUAGGAUAAUAUUGCUAUAUUAUGCCUACAGUAAAAUGAUGAAGUUCAAUAUUAAAUUAUUUCAAUUAUGAUGUAAUAUUUGUUAAAAAACUUCUAUUUAUGAAUUAUAUAUAUAUUUAGCUUCAAUGUAAGGAAAUGAUAAAUUAUUAAUGACUUCAGCCGAACAUUUUAUUAGUUUAAUUACUGUGGCAAGUGCUAAGAAAUUAGCCACUGCACUUGUCUUGUGUUUUAUUUUAUAUCAUGGAUUAAUGCACAUUAUAUAUGGUAGUGACUCUUGUAAAUGGUUAUUAACAGAAGGAAGAUAUAAAGGAGAUAAAGAAUGGCAGCCUUAUGGUUGUAUGAUGCAUUAUUAUACACAAACAGACAGUCGCAGAUGUUUGAGAUAUCUAGCUUUCAUGGGCCACCAUAAUCACUUUGUAUUUAUUGGAGAUGUUAGAAUCAGACAACUAUAUAAGUCUUUUAUAUCACAAUUUAUAGUUGAUGGGAAAGCAUCUGAUUUAACAGAAUUACCAGAGAAUUCUGAUUUAAAUUUCAAUGAUGCACAACUUAGAUUAAAUGUACAAUUUUUGUGGAGACCUCAAUUGGAUAAUACUAUGGUAGAAGAUCUUAGAAGUUGGAUGAAAACUGAUGCACCUAGUUUAAUUAUUUCAGGCUGUGGAGCAAUGACAAUUCUUGCUAAUAAUAAUAGUGACACUCAAUUGUACUCUGAAUAUAGUAUGGGAUUAGUGAGACUUGUACAACCAGUAGACUUUUUAGCCAAAAAAAAUACAAAAUAUUUAUGGAUGUUGCAAGAUCCUGUAGUAAAAGAAAGACUGCCAGCUCAAUUAUCAGGCAUAGAUAAUAGACAGAUCAAUUUAUGUAAUAAAGCAGCAAUAAAGAUACUAUCUCAUAGUGAGGUUCAUAUAUGGGAAAGUAGUAAACUUGUUGGUGCAGGUGUAUUGGAACAAAGUCCAGAUGGAUAUUUAGCUAGUCCUUUGUCUUUGCGACAUAAGAUUCAAAUAUUGUUAAACACUUAUUGCAAUGAUCAUAUGAAUUUUGAUGAUGGAAGUUGUUGCAGUUAUCCAGAACCAGCAACAAUAUUGCAAUUAUUAAGUUUGUCAAUACUUGCUUUAUGCAUAAUAAUUGGUGGUGGAAUGUGGUUGUAUAGAAAGUUUUGUUAUUAUCGAACUGAAAUUUCUUACUUACGCGUUGAAAUGGAAAAUACUGAAGAAGCAAAUAAUUCUGAAACUAUACAAAUUGAGCAACCUGAAGUACAAGAUUUUUAUACUUUAAUGACAUCUCUGGCUCUCUUGUCAAUUAUUUUAUAUUACUUUUAUUUAUGUGAUAGGACAAAUUUCUUUAUGAAAGAAAAUAAAUACUAUAGUGAAUUUAGUUUUUGGUUGCCAUUAGGAUAUAUAUUAGCUCUUGGUUUAUUUUUUACUGAAGAUAGAGAAAGAGGGCCAAGAACUUUAAAUCGAGAACAAACAGAUGAAUGGAAAGGAUUAAUGCAAGCUGUAGUAUUAAUUUAUCAUGUUACUGGAGCUAAAAAUGUCUUACCUAUUUAUAUGUAUUUAAGAUUAAUUAAUUCUGCUUACUUAUUUCUUUCUGGAUACGGACAUUUUUGUUACUUUUGGCAAACGGGUGAUGUUUCUUUAAUAAGAUUUGCACGAGUAAUGUUUAGAUUAAACUUUCUAACUGUGUCUUUAUGCCUUUGUAUGAACAGACCAUAUCAGUUUUAUCACUUUGUUCCUUUAGUCUCAUUCUGGUUUCUAGUAAUUUAUUUCUUAGCAUGGUUACCACCAAGAAUAUAUUCUGGUAGUUUAAAUGAAUAUGGACCGAGAGCUUUACUUUAUCUUGCAUUGAAACUUUUAGGUCUUGUAUCAAUGAUCACAAUAUUAUACAUGUCAGAGGUGUUUUUUGAAAAAGUAUUUGUAACAAGACCUUGGAAAGCAUUAUUUGUUACAACUGAUGAUGAUAUACGUGAAUGGUGGUCACGUUGGAGAGUGGAUAGAUAUAGUAUGACUUGGGGAGUAACUUUUGGGGCAGGUCUUGUAGCUUUGCAAAGAAUAGAUCACAUUCCAGGAACUGCGUUAUCUUCUCUAUUAGCAUUAAUUUCUUUAACUGCUUAUACUACUUUUACAAUAUUAUGUCAUUCAGUAUCUGAAUGUGAGGAAAUUCAUUCAUAUGUUGCAUUUAUUCCAAUUAUAGGUUACAUUGCACUUAGAAAUGCAUCAUUAGCAUUACGUGGUAAGCAUUCAGCUCUUUUGACUGGUUUAGGUCGCAUCAGCUUAGAAACUCUAGUCGCACAAGGUCACAUUUGGUUGGCAGCAGAUUCGCAUGGUGUAUUAGUUUUAUUGCCAAGAUUUCCAGUAUUAAAUCUUUUAGUUACAUCAUUCAUCUUUAUAUGUGCAAGUCACGAAAUACAUAGAUUAACUCAAGUAUUAGCACCAUAUGCAGUACCAAAUGAUUGGAGACUAGUGGCUCGCAAUUUAUUAUUAUUUAUUGCAGUUCUUGUACCAAUUGGCAUUCAUGAUGGAAUGUUUUGAAAUAUAUGUUUUUAUAAUUAGUCAAAUUCUAUAUAUAAAAAAAUGCUUCAUGUAUAUCUAAUUUUUUUAUAGAUUACAAACAUGUUUCUAAUAUUGCUGAUAAUUUUUUCAAGCAUUAAAACUUUAUAUCUAUGAAGCAAAAUUAAAGAAUAAUUACAUAUUUUUUCUUAAAAAAAUAAUAAAUAAUAUGUUAAACUAAAUUAUAUUUUGAU
This is an RNA transcript of Apis laboriosa (Himalayan honeybee), 2846 nucleotides long. It is a transcript of the gene named N-acetylneuraminate 9-O-acetyltransferase, with no coding region annotated. Lineage: Eukaryota; Metazoa; Arthropoda; Insecta; Hymenoptera; Apidae. The record is from RefSeq and is a predicted model, not a curated record. The transcript has 14 exons.